Molecule: long non-coding RNA, 494 nt
Organism: Engraulis encrasicolus (European anchovy)
Lineage: Eukaryota; Metazoa; Chordata; Actinopteri; Clupeiformes; Engraulidae
Exons: 4
Source: RefSeq, a predicted model, not a curated record
CUCUUUGGGCACCGGCAGGCACAGUCAUUCCGGUAGUCCGUUCCUCGAUGGACGUGAUGACCUGGCACCAAAACCGCUUAAUGUGUACGGAGCUGUGUCUGCAUCGAGGGAAGAACGCGGCACUGAAAUGACACAAAUGAAAGAAGAUUACUUCUGCUCUGCUGGGUCUGUGACACUAUUUAUCCGAGGAGUCCUCAAACAUCAGGAUGUAGGAAGACACAAGUAAAAGGAGAAGAAUGCUGCUCAGCUGGGUCGGCGGCCACACUACUUAUUCAAGAAGCUCUUGGAUAUCAUCAGCAUGUAUGAAACUUGUGGUGAGAUGCCAAGAGCUGCCAUGAGGGAUAUGCAACCUGCAGCUUCACCGUGCUUUUGGGAGGUCAUCUACUAUGUGAACCUUAAUAUCUACAAGCCAGCUACUUUAAAUCCUUGAAAGGGUAGUGAUGUCAAUCAAACCAGAUCACGAGACAAGGUCCUGAGGUACAAACUGUCAAUAU